RNAcentral lists this non-coding RNA (25 nucleotides) under Mus musculus (house mouse). Lineage: Eukaryota; Metazoa; Chordata; Mammalia; Rodentia; Muridae. The record is from RNAcentral.
UGCCUUCACAUAUUGCCUUUGUCCC